RNAcentral lists this ribosomal RNA (564 nucleotides) under Bathyhippolyte yaldwyni. RNAcentral's name for it is "partial 16S ribosomal RNA". It matches the Rfam family "Bacterial large subunit ribosomal RNA", at positions 1808 to 2643 of the family's 2925-position model. Lineage: Eukaryota; Metazoa; Arthropoda; Malacostraca; Decapoda; Hippolytidae. The record is from RNAcentral.
CAAAAACAUCGCUUUAUGUGUUAUAUAAAUAUAAAGUAGUGCCUGCUCCCUGAAUAUAAAGAGCCGCAGUAUCUUGACUGUGCAAAGGUAGCAUAAUCAAUAACCUACUAAUUGUAGGUUGGAAUGAAAGGUUGACUGAUGAGCCUCUUUCUUUAGUUAAAAAAUUGAAUUUUACUUUCAAGUGAAAAGGCUUGAAUAGAAAAGAGGGACGAUUAGACCCUAUAAAACUUGACAGCUAUUUGGGUUUUAUGAAGUUGUGUUAAAAUUAAGUUUUUUUUAGCUGUUUGAUUGGGGCGAUUGUAAUAUAUUUUUUCUAGCUAUUAUUUAUAGUAUAAUAUUUAUUUUUAGAUUAUGACCCUUUAUUAAGGAUUAGAAGAUAAAGUUACUUUAGGGAUAACAGCGUAAGAUUUCUAUUUGAGAGUUCAUAUUGAAAAAGGAGUUACGACCUCGAUGUUGAAUUAAGGUUACUUUUAGGCGCAACCGCUUAAAAAGUGAGUCUGUUCGACUUUUAAACCGUUACAUGAUUUGAGUUCAGACCGGCGUGAGCCAGGUUGGUUUCUAUCU